Molecule: ribosomal RNA, 620 nt
Filed under: Bacillus subtilis
Lineage: Bacteria; Bacillati; Bacillota; Bacilli; Caryophanales; Bacillaceae
Description: bacterial SSU rRNA
Rfam family: Bacterial small subunit ribosomal RNA
Source: RNAcentral
AGAUGGGAGCUUGCUCCCUGAUGUUAGCGGCGGACGGGUGAGUAACACGUGGGUAACCUGCCUGUAAGACUGGGAUAACUCCGGGAAACCGGGGCUAAUACCGGAUGCUUGUUUGAACCGCAUGGUUCAAACAUAAAAGGUGGCUUCGGCUACCACUUACAGAUGGACCCGCGGCGCAUUAGCUAGUUGGUGAGGUAACGGCUCACCAAGGCAACGAUGCGUAGCCGACCUGAGAGGGUGAUCGGCCACACUGGGACUGAGACACGGCCCAGACUCCUACGGGAGGCAGCAGUAGGGAAUCUUCCGCAAUGGACGAAAGUCUGACGGAGCAACGCCGCGUGAGUGAUGAAGGUUUUCGGAUCGUAAAGCUCUGUUGUUAGGGAAGAACAAGUACCGUUCGAAUAGGGCGGUACCUUGACGGUACCUAACCAGAAAGCCACGGCUAACUACGUGCCAGCAGCCGCGGUAAUACGUAGGUGGCAAGCGUUGUCCGGAAUUAUUGGGCGUAAAGGGCUCGCAGGCGGUUCCUUAAGUCUGAUGUGAAAGCCCCCGGCUCAACCGGGGAGGGUCAUUGGAAACUGGGGAACUUGAGUGCAGAAGAGGAGAGUGGAAUUCCACGU